Otolemur garnettii (small-eared galago) is the source of this 294-nucleotide unclassified non-coding RNA. It matches the Rfam family "Metazoan signal recognition particle RNA". From Rfam's summary of the family: The signal recognition particle (SRP) is a universally conserved ribonucleoprotein. It is involved in the co-translational targeting of proteins to membranes. Lineage: Eukaryota; Metazoa; Chordata; Mammalia; Primates; Galagidae. The record is from Ensembl.
GCUGGAUGUGGUGGUGGGCCACCUGUAGUCCCAGCUACCUGGGAGGCUGAGGUAGGAGGACUGCUUGACCCUGGGAGUUCUGGACUAUAAUAUGCUAUGCUGAUCCAGUGUCUGAACUAAGUUUGACAUCAAUAUGGUGAACUCCUUGGAGUGGGGGACCACCAGGUUGCCUAAGGAGGGAUAAACUGGCCCAGGCAGGAAAGGGACUAGGUCAAAACUUCUGUUCUAGGCUGGGCCUGGUGGCUCAUGCCUGUAAUCCUAGCACUCUGGGAGGCUAAGAUGGGUGGAUUGCUU